CCUACGGGAGGCAGCAGUGAGGAAUAUUGGUCAAUGGGCGCGAGCCUGAACCAGCCAAGUCGCGUGAGGGAUGACGGUCCUACGGAUUGUAAACCUCUUUUGCCGGGGAGCAAGCGUGCGUUCGUGAACGCGCGUCGAGAGUACCCGGAGAAAAAGCAUCGGCUAACUCCGUGCCAGCAGCCGCGGUAAUACGGAGGGGGCAAGCGUUGUUCGGAAUGACUGGGCGUAAAGGGUGUGUAGGUGGUUUGAUAAGUUAGAUGUGUAAUACCCAGGGCUUAACUCGGGUGCUGCAUCUAAAACUGUUAGACGUGAGUACUGGAGAGGAGAGUGGAAUUCCUAGGGUAGCGGUGGAAUGCGUAGAUAUUAGGAGGAACAUCAGUGGCGAAGGCGACUAUCUGGACAGCAACUGACACUGAGGCACGAAAGCGUGGGGAGCAAACAGGAUUAGAUACCCCAGUAGUC
Molecule: ribosomal RNA, 462 nt
Filed under: uncultured bacterium
Lineage: Bacteria
Description: partial 16S ribosomal RNA
Rfam family: Bacterial small subunit ribosomal RNA
Source: RNAcentral